AUGCCAGGAGGUACCACGCUGGCUACUGUAAAUGAGUUGAUUGAUACUGAAAAUUGGACUUGGCGGCGGGAGCUAAUCUGGGACACAUUCAUUGCCCCUGAUGUCGAUGCAAUUCUCAAUAUCCCACUACGGCGGGGUGGUGGGGAUGAUUUUCAAGCCUGGGCUCAUGAACGAAGUGGCAUCUACUCUGUCAAAUCUGCGUACCGUGCUCUAGUGAAUCGGAACGAGCGAGUUGCUCUAGAUGAAGGGACGGUUACCAACACCUCACAGACGGACGAGCAGAUGUGGAAGAAGUUAUGGAAGCUCAAAGUAUUGCCGAAGGUACGUGUGUUCUGGUGGCGAGUUCUGAGGGGAAUUCUACCAGACGAAUGCACUCUUCGACGACGGCAUAUCAAAGUUAUAAGCGGAUGCAAUGUCUGCCAUGCGAUGGAGGAGGACUUAAUGCAUGCACUAAUGCAUUGCUCACACGCAAAGCUGUUUUGGGAGCAAGCCUUUGGCCUUUUUGGCACCAGGAGGCCGCGCUUGCACCCUAGCACAUGGUCUCGGGACAUUACUUGUGAUGUUCAGUUUUCGGAUAUUGAGAGGGCUCAAAUGAUCUCGGUUAUGUGGACGAUAUGGCACUCAAGAAACAGAAUCACACAUGACAACGAUCAGCUGGAUCCUUUCUCUUAG
Molecule: ribosomal RNA, 672 nt
Filed under: Triticum aestivum (bread wheat)
Lineage: Eukaryota; Viridiplantae; Streptophyta; Magnoliopsida; Poales; Poaceae
Description: partial small subunit ribosomal RNA
Source: RNAcentral